RNAcentral lists this ribosomal RNA (262 nucleotides) under uncultured bacterium. Its description in RNAcentral is "partial 16S ribosomal RNA". It matches the Rfam family "Bacterial small subunit ribosomal RNA", at positions 793 to 1055 of the family's 1533-position model. The record is from RNAcentral.
GUCCACGCUGUAACGAUGGGCACUAGGUGUUCGGGUAUUGACCCCUCGAGUGCCGCAGCUAACGCAUUAAGUGCCCCGCCUGGGAGGUACGGUCGCAAGAUUAAACUACAAGGAAUUGACGGGGCCCGGCACAAGCGGUGGAGCAUGUGGUUCAAUUCGACGCAACGCGAAGAACCUUACCUGGGCUAGACAACGGUGGACCGUCCUAGAAAUAGGAUCUUCCCUUCGGGGACCACCGGUUCAGGUGCUGCAUGGCUGUCGU